AUUGAACGCUGGCGGCAUGCCUAACACAUGCAAGUCGAACGGUAGCAGGUCCUUCGGGAUGCUGACGAGUGGCGGACGGGUGCGUAACGCGUGGGAAUCUGCCCAAUAGUGGGGGAUAACCCGGGGAAACUCGGGCUAAUACCGCAUACUCCCUACGGGGGAAAGCGGGGGACCGUAAGGCCUCGCGCUAUUGGAUGAGCCCGCGUCCGAUUAGCUUGUUGGUGGGGUAAAGGCCUACCAAGGCGACGAUCGGUAGCUGGUCUGAGAGGACGACCAGCCACACUGGGACUGAGACACGGCCCAGACUCCUACGGGAGGCAGCAGUGGGGAAUAUUGGACAAUGGGGGAAACCCUGAUCCAGCAAUGCCGCGUGUGUGAAGAAGGCCUGCGGGUUGUAAAGCACUUUCGGCAGGAAAGAAAAGUCAUGCGCCAAUACCGCAUGACCUUGACGUUACCUGCAAAAGAAGCACCGGCUAACUCCGUG
This 484-nucleotide ribosomal RNA is filed under the name uncultured bacterium. Its description in RNAcentral is "bacterial SSU rRNA". It matches the Rfam family "Bacterial small subunit ribosomal RNA", at positions 29 to 507 of the family's 1533-position model. The record is from RNAcentral.